RNAcentral lists this transfer RNA (76 nucleotides) under Candidatus Staskawiczbacteria bacterium RIFCSPHIGHO2_01_FULL_36_16. Its description in RNAcentral is "tRNA-Lys". It matches the Rfam family "tRNA". From Rfam's summary of the family: Transfer RNA (tRNA) molecules are approximately 80 nucleotides in length. Their secondary structure includes four short double-helical elements and three loops (D, anti-codon, and T loops). Lineage: Bacteria; Candidatus Staskawicziibacteriota. RNAcentral also lists the same sequence under 14 other names. The record is from RNAcentral.
GCCCUCAUAGCUCAAUUGGUAGAGCAAUUCCCUUUUAAGGAAUUGGUUCCGCGUUCGAGUCGCGGUGAGGGCACAA